RNAcentral lists this ribosomal RNA (420 nucleotides) under Triticum aestivum (bread wheat). RNAcentral describes it as "partial small subunit ribosomal RNA". The record is from RNAcentral. Lineage: Eukaryota; Viridiplantae; Streptophyta; Magnoliopsida; Poales; Poaceae.
AUGCAUAGUUUCAUUGCUGGGCUAAACCCUUACAUCCAAAGUCACCUGGAAUGUUUAGAACCUACGGACAUGAACAAAGCUAUGUGGUUAGCCAGACGAAUUGAAAAGUCCUGUCCCCCUGCCAUCACUCAGAAGCCUUAUGUGCCCAACUACAGAAGAGGAACUACAGGAGAAAUAUCUAAACCUGUCCUUCCUGCCAGCACAUCUCCUGCUGCUGUUAUACAACAAGCUAGAGAAAAAGGCAUUUGUUAUAAAUGCAGAGAACCAUGGUUCUCAGGGCACAAGCAAGUGUGCAAGAUGUCACCAAAAGCACAAGUUCAGGCACUGCAAGAACAAGGAGAAAACCCUGAAAUUAUCUACAUAGUAGAUGCAGAGGAGCUACAUUCAGAUGGGGAUGAAGAACCUCCUGAUAACCAAUAA